Molecule: transfer RNA, 72 nt
Filed under: Siganus guttatus (goldlined spinefoot)
Lineage: Eukaryota; Metazoa; Chordata; Actinopteri; Siganidae
Also listed under: 9 other names
Description: tRNA-Trp
Rfam family: tRNA
About the family: Transfer RNA (tRNA) molecules are approximately 80 nucleotides in length.
Source: RNAcentral
AGGAACUUAGGCUAACCACUAGACCAAGGGCCUUCAAAGCCCUAAGUGGGAGUGAAAAUCUCCCAGUUCCUG